Molecule: long non-coding RNA, 1100 nt
Organism: Astatotilapia calliptera (eastern happy)
Lineage: Eukaryota; Metazoa; Chordata; Actinopteri; Cichliformes; Cichlidae
Source: Ensembl
UUUUCAUGGCAGAUGAGAGGGUUUGUUCCCUGCACCUUUGGUUCAGGGAACAGGUUGAGGGGGUGAGGGAUGAACUGUCAACUGAUCACCAAUCAGCAGUGAGUUGGAUCAGGUGGAUGCUGGACAGACGUAGGAUGCCUAAAUGUAUUGUGAAGGUAUGCUAGGAAUGCUCCUCGCUCCGCUCCUGUAACACACUCCUCUCCAAAACCUGCUAAGACAAGACGGGAAGGUCAGUGGCCUAUUCAUGAAAUGCAUGAAAGCAAUAUUUCUGGUCAGACCCCGGGCUUCACUAACUCAAUAACUCAGCAAUCCAGUGUCGACUGAAACUCAUCCACCCAGUUAAGUAGUGGCCACUGACAAAGGUGAUCAGCGGCAGCUGGUGAAGUAGAUGGGCGACAGGUGUGGCUGGCUUCAGCACGGGAAACUCCUCUGGCCUGAUGACGCCCACAAACUGGCAUGGUGGAACACACACAAACACACAGGAGAGGAGGCGGGGGGAGGGAAGUCAGAAACAAAACACAAAGAAAAACAUACACAUGGGCAGGUCGACCAGCAGAAACUGCCAGACCAUGACAUCUCAGCAAAAAUGGAGUCCAUAGACUUUAUAUAAGUGCAAGAAAAUUGUAGUAAUGUAAGGCUUGUGUAUUUUUUUUUAAAGAAAAUGAAAAAACAAAAAACAAAAACAGAAACUAAAAAAACUAGAAAAUAGAGGCAACACCCAGACUAUAGUGACACGUCUGCACUGAUACAUUUAGCUAACCUCAGUACUCACACUUUGAAUUUCUUUGAACACACAAAAGUUUAGACGCUUCUUGAGGGGUUUAGAAAAAAAUGAAUCAAUAGAAGAUAAAAAUAAUGUUCACAGAAGCUAUCAAAUUCCAAUGAUUUUCUUUCUUUUGAUCAUUAUUGUUUCUCUUGGCAUUAUUUCAAUUUAGAAUGUAAUAUAUUACCUUUUUACUACACUAGGGUUCCAAAUGCAGGACUUAAUGCAAAGGAUCAGAUAGCAUAUAAAUUCAUUAAUUGCCACAAAACUAAAAUCAAAAUAUAGAAAAAUGUAGAAAUUGCAUGCAUAAUCAUCAGUGAUCUGACGUCAAACGUUC